UGUGUUCCGCGAGAUCCGUCUCCGUUUACGUGAUCCGUCUCCGUUUCCGUGUCAGUGGCAAAUGUAAAUGCUAAAACAUGAACUCCUAUCACAUUUCAAACGGUAACCGGAAAUUCAAAUAUCGUGAGUGUUCUGUUCUUUUUAUGUGUCCGAAGUACACAGGUUGGGACAAAAAGUUCAAAUUGAAUUCCCGGUUCCCGUUUGAAAACGUGUUUGUUUUUGUUAUUGAAGGAAAUGGAAGGUGUUGCAAGUCAAUAAGAGCCACUUUGCCUUACUGAAUAAAUAUAUAAUAUUGAACUCCCACAACUUUCAUAAGUUCAAUCUCAAACUACAAAGCAACAAAACAAUAAACAAAAACAUUUGGUUUGGAAUAUUUACUGCGCUCUGGUGACAACUUUAGAAAUCAAUACAUUCGCCAUCGGACAUCGCAAUUGUGGACAGGGCAGUUUUCGGUGAGACAAUGUGACGUCACUCACAUUCGGAUAAGGACACGGACCACGCACAGCACAGCAAAAGAGGCAUGAACGGUACGACUGGGGGCUGAAGUUUACCGACGUUGAGCCGGUACGCUCGGUGGUUCCUGCUGGGGUCGAUCAGGGCUUCGAACUCCGUGAAGAGCUUCCGGAACUUUGAAGGCAGCUUCUCCCAAGUCAGGGAGAGACGGCUGAUCGCCAUGUUGCUGAGUCCCAUGACGAUGGCGAAGAAAGCAUUCAGGUUCUGGAACUCCUUGCAGCUGAAAUUUGUGUCACAAGGUUCAAGCAUUAUCUGGUUCAGUUAGAGUUUAGGGUUGCUUCAUUCUUUGUACAGAAUAACUCAGUAAAUGACAAUUUACAGUUGUUUAGGAAUGAGUACUAGCAUAUAAUAUUAUAACUAUCAAAAUUCACAAUAAUCUUUGAGAAUUUCAAAUUCUGAAAAGCAAUCUUAGUCAUGUAGUUUAAAUAGUUUCCCAUGAGUACUUUAGCAACAAAUAUUUUUGUUCUAGUUGCUAGUACCUUCAUAUGCAUAUCUACACUAUUACAGUAUAGAUAUAUUGGUACGAAAAUUAAGAACUUUAAAUGCAUUUUGGUUUGCAGGAAUUUUUUUAGUUACGAUUAUAAAUAAGUUUUGUAUAGCUAUUGAUUAAAUGUUGUAAGAGAUAAAGAAUUAAUUAAUAUACACAGUGUUUAACAUUGAUAAAAUAAAUUCAAUAGUUUCGUUAAAUUGCACUGGAAAAUGAAAGCUAAUCAUAGUUCUGUUGUAAUAAAAUCAUAGUUUGUCACUUUGUUCCUCAUUUUUAAAGUAGGAUUUUGAUUUUCAGAACUGUUAUUAUUUCAAUAAAAAUGCACUGCAUAAUUUGUUGAUUACUCUAAGGCAUUUGUGCUUUGCAAAAAUUUUAUGCGGUAAAAUUAUUUUUUUUGUCGUCUACCAAAAAUCCUUAUAAUAAAUAAUUCUAUUAAAGUCCUGACUUAUUACUUAAAAGUAACAACAUUUCUGGAGACUUUUGCUGUGAUUAUUUACAACAAAGUACUGAAUCGGUUUUGUAUUUAUUAUCAAAUCUGUCCGAGAAACGAACGGGUAGUUGGAAUGGUAUCUGUUUUAAUCCACAUCGCCCUCCGCUGUUUGUCGGAGCGCGCGCUGCACUCACUAAGCGGCCAGCUUGAUCAUCUUGCGCAAGAUCUGCACCCGCUUGCUCAGGCUCUGGGUGAGGCAUAUCUCGGUGACGACCCAGAACUGCAGCUCGUUGAAGCGGCGGAGGAAGACGUCAAGGUUGGCGGUCGUCUGGCCGAAAUGGUAGCGGCCGAACGUGUGGUAGAUCAGCUCGUACUGUCAACACCCAGCUGCGGUUCGUCACUACCAAAACACACAGCUCGAAAACACUUGACAGGUGCAGCAACUACGCGUGUCAGGGUUCCGUCGACAGAGAAAAUCAAUGGAAUUGAAAAUGUUGCUUCAUUACAUGUAAAACACAAAGUAAUGCACCAUAUCUUAGUUACUAGACAGUAUCAGUAAUUUUUCAUAGUAUUGUCUUCUAAUGUCUAAAAACCGUUAGUAUUUUGAUCAUAAAUACGUGUGGCCUUAUUAAUCUGUAUCACUAAGAUUAAUUACAUGCAAGGGACAUGAUUACAAACCACUAAGUAUUAACAUGAAAUACAAUCAAAUUUAUAUGAAGUCUAUUCCCUGAUUGUGCCAAUGUGUCUUUUCAAAGUUUGAUCAAAAAUAUAUAUAUUUGUUUUCUUUAUCAGACUGACAUAGUUGAGUUUUGUACAUAGUGUUAAUGGAAAUGGCAACAGUUCAAACUUAUUAUUUUGCAGGAAAACAUUUUAUAGUCAAUUAAUUGUGCAUGUUAUGUAUGUUGAAAUUUCUUUUUAUUAUAAUAAUGUGGAUAUCUGUUAUGUUGCCAGAUAGACUGAUAAGUCAGGAAAAACUCAGAGAAAUCAGCUGAAGUAAGUGUAUGGGAACACUACAUGUACUUAUAUACACUGCAAUUCACUUUUAAUUGAAGAUUUGAACCAUCAUAUGCCUAGCAACUUGGGUUCUUGUAUGAUUCAUUGAAACUAUGAGAUUAUCAUGUACAUAAAUAAGUUUCUGUUUCUGCAGUUAUUUCUGAAACCAACAAAAUGAAUAGCAACCAUAAUCAGUGGUUGCUAAAUAAUUUUUUUUAAAAUUUUCAAUGACUAGUUCAAGUAACGUAACAAACAUCUUUCUAAAAUUGUCACGUGGGUGACAGUGUCACAAAGCGUUCAAGUUACAUUACAGGCAUUUUCAGACACAAAAAUUUUCUUCGAGAUGAAAAUUAAAUUGCGUGAGAACACUUCAAAUAUUAAUUAAAACAUUAUCUAUCUUUACGGGCUGGAAAAAAUUAGCACAUAUUACUUUAUAAAUUAGUAACUACAGUAGAACCCUGUUAUAAUGUUUUUCAAGGGAGCACACGAAAAAAACAUUAUAAGCAGGAAAACGUUAUAAGCAGGAAAUCUCAAUUUAGCACUUAACAAUGUUCCAGCUUUGUACCAAUGGACUCACCAAGCUAUGUAAACAACUUUAAUGUUAAAACCAAAGAUAGUAUACUUGAUACAUGAAUUUUCUGAAACAAGCCAACAAUUUUUCAACUUCGUCUUGUUCCCUGGUUAAAUUUUGUUUGUCUUUAAAGAUACACUGCCACAUUUUUUGUAAAAUUGUCUCACGAUUCAUGAUGACAACAUUAAGAGUGAGAACGUCUACUCUUUCACCACCUGAAAAUGUUUAAUUUUGGGAUUCCUACGUAUGAAUGAAAAAAAAAAAAAUAUUUGUAAGCAAUAGAAAACACUUUUAGUUAUGCCCUCGCUCAAUGGUUGGCAACUUAAAUAUCGUAGGACUAUGUACGUGCAUCUGAAUACCCACUGGAAUGGCAAGGAAGAGAAGAGUUGACUAAUGGUGCCAACUGACACACAACUAUGAACAUUGUGUACCUUCAGUAUAUUGCAUAAAAUUGUAUUUUAACAAACUUCAUGUAUUGUAUGGCAGUGAUUGUAAACAUAAACAUACAUAAAGGAAACUUUUUAUCGUAAGUGUUGGAAUAAUUUGGUUUUAAAACAUUUUUUCCCCAUUUAUUGAAUGUUAGAAAGCAAACAUUAUAAGCAGGAAAUUACACUAUUUAUGAACGUUAUAUGCAGGAAAUAAAUACAUUGUCCUUAUGGGAGAAAUAAUGGGACUUUAAAAAUAUGACACUAUAAGCAGGAAAACAUUAUAUGCAGGAACAUUAUAACAGGGUUCUACUGUAUUUGUAUGAAAUUAGCAUUUUUAAUGCAUCUUACUUAAAACAAUAAUAUUUACAUUCUAAAUGUUUGUAAACUGAUAAUAUAUAUACAUACAUACAUACACACAAAUACAUACAUACACACACACAAAUACAUACAUACAAAUACCUACAAAUAACUCUCUACUCUACAAAUAACCCUCUAUUUCAGUUUGGAUUUUUUUUUUUUUUCAUAACUUGGCAUCAUCCCGGGCUACGCCCUUCUGAGCCCGAACGGCCACCACCUCCCUCCUCACCCGCUGCAGGGCCCUUCCUUCCACCACCACCCCCUGUGACCCCGGCGUUUCAAACCGCCCGGAAAAGUGUACGUAUGUGUGCGUGUGUCGGCCCACGCCCACCGGUGUGACGUCAGUGCUUCGCUCCCUUAUAGAUGCUAGCCUGAUUAAUUGUAACUUGCUUAUCUUCCCUACAGUGUUUUAUGUUCUAGCAGACAGGAGUAAUCGCUUCAAGACAGGCUUUUCUGUAAGGUGUUAACAUAAAUAAUAUUCCGUGGCCGGAACGAUGCCGAGCGAGGACGAACAUUCCCGAGGCAGACUAUAUACGGAAGGGAGAAUGGGGAAAGGGGCACUGUCCCUGGAUCCACCGCCGGCCCGAGCCCGCACCUCGAUGAACGCCAGGGCGUUGGGGUCCUCAAACACCGGCUGCCGUAUGGUGAGCACCCAGCAGUGGAUGAACUGCACCACUCUCCUCUUGCAGGCCAGCAGGAACUCGCAGUCUUGGCUGGGCGAGUCGAUGCGGUAGGUGAUGGCGACCGUCAAGGAAAUAAAAAACUGUCCACUGCAAAAACACUGGGACCCAGCAAACCUCCUGCCACUUCUCUUAACACAGCUUGUUUAUUUUAUUAAUUGGAAAUACAAUCAUGAAAGCACAAGUAACUGAAGACUUUGGGUGUUAAUAGUGAUAAUCUUUUAAAAAAGUAAAAUUCCAGUUUCAAAUAUUGAUUGUGAAAUUGGAACAUUAUCUUAUGGUCUAUUUUCUGAAGUUAAAUUUAGGGUACAAAAAUUUUUUGGGAAAAUACAAAGAAAAAGCUUUAUAAAAUUUUUUUGUUCUGGCCGAUGUCCUAUACCAAUAAAAAAUAAUGUUGGCUAUCAUUAUUUACAUUUAAGGUAGACAAUUACAGUUCCAUAUAAAAAAAAUCCUGCCAAAAUAAAAAACUGUUUUGUGGAUGGGUCUUAAUAUGCCUAUCUUUACUAACAAAGGCUUUCAAAUCUAAUAUUAUAUACUUGACAUAUUGUACUUGAUUAGUAAUAUCAUUAUAGGAGAAAAAUUAUUCAUCUCAAAUUACCUUGUGAAAUUUUAUGCCUCUCGUGGUAAUUGCAGUACUAAAUGUCAGCACGCAUGUUUCAUCCCUUACUUGCACAUUUUUAAAAAGAUCAAAAUACGAACUUUUUUAUUAAAUUCUUCAAAUUAUUCAUUAUGGAAUGCUUUCCUUGGAUUCUGAUCAUCUUCAAGUUACAGUCGGCAUCUUUAGUUUGGUAUUUUGCGGUUCGGCACAUACUGUAACCCAGCACUAAUCUAUCUGCUUCCAUUAAAUAUUUUUGAGUAAAUUUCGACAUUUGUUGUUUCUGACUGUCGGGUAGCAUUACUGCAAUGCCCAAGGUUUUAGUUAACUUAAUGUUUAUUAUGUUUGAAGCAGCUCAUUACAACUUGUAUUAAAUAUCACUGUACUGCAUUUUUCUUUUUCUUCGGUGUUCCGGUAAAACUACAUUAAUGUUCAAUAAUCCAGCAAAAUUCAAAUCAGAUAUGCCUGUGUUCCAGAAAAUCAAAGAUCUUUUACUGUACCAUUAUGGAAUAAUGUGGCAUUGUAGAAUUUUAAAUCUUGCUUCAGCUGAUGUGACAUACCAAUAGGUCACGUAUGUGAAUGAUUUAUUUACCUCUCAUUCCUUUGAGCCAGUUGAUGUUGCAAUAUAUAUUGUCAGCCUAUUUAUACUGAUGGUAGAUUACUAAAGCCAGUCUCGAACUAUACUAGUUUGAAUAGAUAACUCAGACAUACAGAACCAUGAGUAUCUCUAAAAUCGAGGGUUGACUUUAUUGUAGUCCUCCCAUUUUUAUUUGUUAUUGGUAUAUAUCGCAGCGUGGGCUAACCAAGACCAUCUAGAGAAACCAAGGACCCAGGGACAAGUAAGUAGUUUUGUCGGGCUCCCUCCCUAUUAUCUAAUGAAAUCAAAUCCCACAUUUAAAAAAAUUGGUUGUCUGUAAAGUCGAUUUACGAACAAUAGUUUAACGUGACAACAUCGUAACAAAACAUUGAUGAAAUUAUUGCAUACUUUUAUGAAUAAAAUUGAAUCAUUUUUAUUUAAUUAUCACUAUUUUGUAUGGAUACAAAGAAGGAGUAAAAUGAAAUCUAAAAUUUAAUUGAUAAAUUUAAUUUUAUUUGCACUCAUUAAUUCAAAUAUGUUUAUUACUUUAACGAAGAGAUUAUUUUAACUAUAACUUUUAUACAUGUUUGCUAUUUAACUUCUUCCAAUCUGUGUUAUUCUGUUAAGGAUAGGACAAUGAUAGGAAAAGUAGGAAACGAAUGGGAGUGUUUCAAGUUUAAUGUGCCUCGAAAAAGUCAAAUCGAUGGUUGUUCCAAUCGAGUGGAAUAGAGAUAGAUGCGGCGCAAGCGUACAAUGAGCGUAACGGGACACUUUUUCGUGCGUGCAGCCAGCGUUCAUCGAUUUAUUAGACGUCACGUCAAAAUAUUUUUAAUGUUCUAAAUGUUACCGUGAUUAUAAUUGCAAACAUGAUCUGCAUGUAUCAUAUAAUUUAUAAGGUUUCUUAUGAAAUAUAUUAACAAUAUACUUGUAAUUUUUGUUCUAUCAGGGUGAACCCCAACAUUAAAAAAAUCUCGAAACUCAACUAGACAACCCUCCACCCCCCAAAUCAUAACUCAUAUUCCCCCUCCCCGCUUUUGACAACCAUAAGGAUGAGGAGACAAAUAAAUUGGCCAUCAAAUUCCAAUACCUAGACUCCUGGCUCAAUAUGCAUUCUCACUGCUACAUCAUUUCUUGGUGUUGUCAGAUAUAUGCAACGAUGGCAUAAGCAUGGCAGAUUGCUAUGAACAAAGGAAUGAAUCAGAACUUCAUGUAUCAUCUUCUAGGCCAUUUCAGAUGGAUGAGGAGUGUGGUGAUGCGGAUGAAGAAGCAGUGUUGUUCCUAUCUAUGAAUGAGGUGAUGUGGGCGAACAACGCUCCUUUCUUCUUCCCCUGUAACCCCAUUUAAAUUUAAAAAAAUAAUAAUAACAAGGAAAAAAUAACAGUCUUAAGUCUGCACCUUGCAUUUCAAGUCAGUUCAAUUUAUUUUUUGUAAAAAUGUACAAGAAUUAUUUUAAAUUUUUUACUGUACUUAUCAUGUGUAUUUUUUUUAAAAAUUAGAUCUUCAUUAAAUCUGAUGAAACCAUAGUUCUUAUAAUCACAUUUCAAUAUGUUAGAAAUGCAUUGAAUCAGUUUUCAAGGAGGGUAUUAUUUCCAAUACAUUGUUACAUUCCAGGUUGGCCCUGCAAGGCAACCAUGAAUAAUAAUUUCCAGAUCCGUUUGAAAAUUUAAUGUUGAUAAUAUGCGAUGACUUUGAAGAUUAUUUUCUGAGGUUUGUCUUUUCAUCAAAAUUAGGAUUAACUUUUUUUGCUAAAUAUAAAAGUUCUGACCAAACAAAUAACAAUAAAAUAAUUUAAAUAAAAAAAUAACCUUUAUUUAAACUCCAACCUAAAUGAAUAAUUAUUAAUAAAGAUAUUUUAGCAUAAGCAAAUAUGCAUAAUAAAUGAAACAUAAUUACGGAACCCUUAAGGAAAACAUACGCAACAUAACGCCUUCUCAGCUAAAGUGUUAUUACAUAUUAGCAGGAGGGCAAGAGUCAUGCUAUGUUACAACUUCGAAUUCCCCCAUUAAACUGAGAAGUAUUCCUUCCAUGUCGCCCGAAACCCCUCUGGUCAUCCGCACAACCCCAAAAUUUUGAGCAGUGACAGAACGCAAGAGGAAAUGUGAGUGUCCAAAGUCAAGGGCGUCGCUGGCCAGCCGAUGACCUGGAGGGUGGGGGGGCAAGUUGUGGGAAAAGUAUGUAUUUUUUUUUGCAUUUGGCUACAUCGAAUCUCUAGGGCUCUAGGAGGGGGGGGGCGACUGCCCCCCCUACCCCACCCUGGCGACGCCCUUGUCCAAAGGGUCGUGGAACUGUUGAGCACGUUCUCUACUCGGUAAUAACGUGAGCUCGACCACGUCAGCAGCCGCGGCUCGGGAGCAAGGGCCGCCUCGGGAAAGGAUAUUGCCUGGCGAGCUCGGAGACCAGCUGGUGCGUCGGCAUGAACACGAUGUGCGUGAGGAGGAAGUCCUCGAGGAAGAGGUCGCUGGCCAGGUAGGUGCCGCCCACCCCGCCUCCGCCCCGCCCGUCCAGCCUCGUCUCCAGCAGGUGCUCCAGCAUCUUCUGGGGCGUCCCGGCCAUCACGGUGUACCUGCGACAAGCGGAGGGGGCGACGCGUGCGGUACGGCCGGUGACGUAGCCAGGAUUUGUGUAUGGGGGGGGGGGGGUGUUAAGUAGCAUGCCCCCCCCCAUCUAAAGCAGGGGGGGGGGAUCCGGGGGUCCUCCCCCAGGAAAAUUUGGAUUUUUAAGGUGUGAAAUAGUGCUAUUUUAGCUAGUUUUCGGUUCUUAAAUUUAAAUAUUGUAAUGGUAAAUUUUUUUAUUAAUUUUAAUAUGAAAUUUGUUUGAGUGACGAAUAAGAAAUUAAUUAAAGAUUUGGUUGCUAAGGGGGGGGGGGGGGGGUGUUUGAAACCCUAAACCCCCUCCCCAGCUACGCCCCUGCUCUCAGUAUUAUACUUUAAAUAGCCAUGUCGAUGGAAAAGUCAUUGAAUAUCAAUGGAAGAAUAUAUAGAAUGCAGGAAAAUGCCUGGGAUUUGAUUUCAAGGGAAUGCUAUAAAAAAAUUGAGUAGUAUUUUUUUUUUUUCCUGAAAUAAUCCAUAAUUUUUUUUUUGCCCUCAGAAGCAAAACUGCAUCAUCAAAUUAUGAAAAUCUUCAAAUUUUUUUUCUUU
Bacillus rossius redtenbacheri is the source of this 8768-nucleotide long non-coding RNA. RefSeq lists it as uncharacterized. NCBI's taxonomy places the organism in Eukaryota, Metazoa, Arthropoda, Insecta, Phasmatodea, Bacillidae. The record is from RefSeq and is a predicted model, not a curated record. The transcript has 3 exons.